This 328-nucleotide RNase P RNA is filed under the name Betaproteobacteria bacterium RIFCSPHIGHO2_12_FULL_69_13. RNAcentral describes it as "RNase P RNA component class A". It matches the Rfam family "Bacterial RNase P class A". Rfam says of the family: Ribonuclease P (RNase P) is a ubiquitous endoribonuclease, found in archaea, bacteria and eukarya as well as chloroplasts and mitochondria. Its best characterised activity is the generation of mature 5'-ends of tRNAs by cleaving the 5'-leader elements of precursor-tRNAs. Cellular RNase Ps are ribonucleoproteins. The record is from RNAcentral. Lineage: Bacteria; Pseudomonadati; Pseudomonadota; Betaproteobacteria. RNAcentral also lists the same sequence under 1 other name.
GGAGUCGGCUAGGCAGCCGCUGCGCGCUCCGCGCGCAGAGGAAAGUCCGGGCUCCGCAGAGCGGGAUGCAGGGUAACGCCCUGGCACGGCGACGUGACGAAUAGGGCCACAGAGACGAGUCCUCGGUCCCAAGCCGAGGGGUGAAACGCGGCAACCUCCAUCCGGAGCAACACCAAAUAGGCAAGCGUUCGAGGCCUGCUCGGCCGAGGCUUGCGGGUAGGUGGCAAGAGCCGGGGAGCAAUCCCCGGCCCAGAGGAAUGGCUGCCACGGCGAGCGCCUUAGUUCAGGUGGCUGCCGACAGAACCCGGCUUAUCGGCCGGCUCCCGCU